AUACGGAGGGUGCAAGCGUUACUCGGAAUCACUGGGCGUAAAGCGCACGUAGGCGGACUGAUCAGUUAGAGGUGAAAUCCCAGGGCUCAACCCUGGAACUGCCUUUAAUACUGUCAGUCUAGAGAUCGAGAGAGGUGAGUGGAAUUCCAAGUGUAGAGGUGAAAUUCGUAGAUAUUUGGAGGAACACCAGUGGCGAAGGCGGCUUACUGGCUCGAUACUGACGCUGAGGUGCGAAAGCGUGCGGAGCAAACAGGAUUAGAGACCCCGGUAGUCC
Molecule: ribosomal RNA, 274 nt
Filed under: uncultured bacterium
Lineage: Bacteria
Description: partial 16S ribosomal RNA
Rfam family: Bacterial small subunit ribosomal RNA
Source: RNAcentral